GACGAACGCUGGCGGCGCGCCUAACACAUGCAAGUCGAACGAGCGAGAGAGAGCUUGCUUUCUUGAGCGAGUGGCGAACGGGUGAGUAACGCGUGAGGAACCUGCCUCAAAGAGGGGGACAACAGUUGGAAACGACUGCUAAUACCGCAUAAGCCCACGGCUCGGCAUCGAGCAGAGGGAAAAGGAGCAAUCCGCUUUGAGAUGGCCUCGCGUCCGAUUAGCUAGUUGGUGAGGUAACGGCCCACCAAGGCAACGAUCGGUAGCCGGACUGAGAGGUUGAACGGCCACAUUGGGACUGAGACACGGCCCAGACUCCUACGGGAGGCAGCAGUGGGGAAUAUUGCACAAUGGGGGAAACCCUGAUGCAGCGACGCCGCGUGGAGGAAGAAGGUCUUCGGAUUGUAAACUCCUAGUUGUUGAGGAAGAUAAUGACGGUACUCAACAAGGAAGUGACGGCUAACUACGUG
This 467-nucleotide ribosomal RNA is filed under the name uncultured bacterium. RNAcentral's name for it is "bacterial SSU rRNA". It matches the Rfam family "Bacterial small subunit ribosomal RNA", at positions 28 to 507 of the family's 1533-position model. The record is from RNAcentral.